This 326-nucleotide ribosomal RNA is filed under the name uncultured soil bacterium. RNAcentral's name for it is "bacterial SSU rRNA". It matches the Rfam family "Bacterial small subunit ribosomal RNA", at positions 26 to 355 of the family's 1533-position model. The record is from RNAcentral.
AGAUUGAACGCUGGCGGCAUGCCUUACACAUGCAAGUCGAACGGCAGCACGGGAGCAAUCCUGGUGGCGAGUGGCGAACGGGUGAGUAAUAUAUCGGAACGUGCCCAGUCGUGGGGGAUAACGCAGCGAAAGCUGUGCUAAUACCGCAUACGAUCUAUGGAUGAAAGCGGGGGAUCGCAAGACCUCGCGCGAUUGGAGCGGCCGAUAUCAGAUUAGCUAGUUGGUGGGGUAAAAGCCUACCAAGGCGACGAUCUGUAGCUGGUCUGAGAGGACGACCAGCCACACUGGAACUGAGACACGGUCCAGACUCCUACGGGAGCAGCAGU